RNAcentral lists this ribosomal RNA (399 nucleotides) under uncultured beta proteobacterium. RNAcentral's name for it is "bacterial SSU rRNA". It matches the Rfam family "Bacterial small subunit ribosomal RNA", at positions 1041 to 1446 of the family's 1533-position model. The record is from RNAcentral. Lineage: Bacteria; Pseudomonadati; Pseudomonadota; Betaproteobacteria.
CUGCAUGGCCGUCGUCAGCUCGUGUCGUGAGAUGUUGGGUUAAGUCCCGCAACGAGCGCAACCCUUGUCAUUAGUUGCUACGAAAGGGCACUCUAAUGAGACUGCCGGUGACAGACCGGAGGAAGGUGGGGAUGACGUCAGGUCCUCAUGGCCCUUAUGGGUAGGGCUACACACGUCAUACAAUGGCCGGUACAGAGGGCUGCCAACCCGCGAGGGGGAGCUAAUCCCAGAAAACCGGUCGUAGUCCGGAUCGCAGUCUGCAACUCGACUGCGUGAAGUCGGAAUCGCUAGUAAUCGCGGAUCAGCUUGCCGCGGUGAAUACGUUCCCGGGUCUUGUACACACCGCCCGUCACACCAUGGGAGCGGGUUCUGCCAGAAGUAGUUAGCCUAACCGCAAGG